AACGCUAGCUACAGGCUUAACACAUGCAAGUCGAGGGGCAGCAUUUCAGUUUGCUUGCAAACUGGAGAUGGCGACCGGCGCACGGGUGAGUAACACGUAUCCAACCUGCCGAUAACUCGGGGAUAGCCUUUCGAAAGAAAGAUUAAUACCCGAUGGUAUAAUCAGACCGCAUGGUUUGAUUAUUAAAGAAUUUCGGUUAUCGAUGGGGAUGCGUUCCAUUAGGCAGUUGGUGAGGUAACGGCUCACCAAACCUUCGAUGGAUAGGGGUUCUGAGAGGAAGGUCCCCCACAUUGGAACUGAGACACGGUCCAAACUCCUACGGGAGGCAGCAGUGAGGAAUAUUGGUCAAUGGGCGCAGGCCUGAACCAGCCAAGUAGCGUGAAGGAUGACUGCCCUAUGGGUUGUAAACUUCUUUUAUAUGGGAAUAAAGUUUUCCACGUGUGGAAUUUUGUAUGUACCAUAUGAAUAAGGAUCGGCUAACUCCGUGCCAGCAGCCGCGGUAAUACGGAGGAUCCGAGCGUUAUCCGGAUUUAUUGGGUUUAAAGGGAGCGUAGGUGGACAGUUAAGUCAGUUGUGAAAGUUUGCGGCUCAACCGUAAAAUUGCAGUUGAUACUGGCUGUCUUGAGUACAGUAGAGGUGGGCGGAAUUCGUGGUGUAGCGGUGAAAUGCUUAGAUAUCACGAAGAACUCCGAUUG
This 695-nucleotide ribosomal RNA is filed under the name uncultured bacterium. RNAcentral describes it as "bacterial SSU rRNA". It matches the Rfam family "Bacterial small subunit ribosomal RNA", at positions 32 to 715 of the family's 1533-position model. The record is from RNAcentral.